This 81-nucleotide transfer RNA is filed under the name Armatimonadota bacterium. RNAcentral describes it as "tRNA-Leu". It matches the Rfam family "tRNA". Rfam says of the family: Transfer RNA (tRNA) molecules are approximately 80 nucleotides in length. RNAcentral also lists the same sequence under 1 other name. Lineage: Bacteria; Bacillati; Armatimonadota. The record is from RNAcentral.
GGGCGAGUGGUGGAAUGGCAGACACGCUGGUCUUAGGAACCAGUGCCGAAAGGUGUAGGAGUUCGAAUCUCCUCUCGCCCA